Cyprinus carpio carpio is the source of this 268-nucleotide long non-coding RNA. The record is from Ensembl. Lineage: Eukaryota; Metazoa; Chordata; Actinopteri; Cypriniformes; Cyprinidae.
AUUUCUUGCAGGUGAGCACAGGGUGGCAGCUGCUCCCUGCAGUGUUUUCCUGCUCGGGUCAGUCUCUCCUGGGGAAGCAAUGACAGAAACUAGGCCAGAUGGUGCGGGAGAGAGAGAGAGAGACAGAGCGGGCCGCUCUCAACCUGACCAACUGCACCACAUUCAAGUGUUCUCGUUCCGCAGCAGGUAGUGGCUGGGAGCAGCAGGAUUCUGGAAGAUUGUAAGAGAACGCCUUAAUGAGCUGAAGGCCUCCUCGGCUGGAAACAAA